UGAUAUGUCUUACCCAUUUGCAACAGCCU
RNAcentral lists this small RNA (29 nucleotides) under Bombyx mori (domestic silkworm). Its description in RNAcentral is "ovarian small RNA-32552". The record is from RNAcentral. Lineage: Eukaryota; Metazoa; Arthropoda; Insecta; Lepidoptera; Bombycidae.